RNAcentral lists this ribosomal RNA (253 nucleotides) under uncultured bacterium. Its description in RNAcentral is "partial 16S ribosomal RNA". It matches the Rfam family "Bacterial small subunit ribosomal RNA", at positions 524 to 776 of the family's 1533-position model. The record is from RNAcentral.
UACAGAGGUCCCAAGCGUUGUUCGGAUUUACUGGGCGUAAAGGGUGCGUAGGUGGCGAGGUAAGUUCGAUGUGAAAUCUCCGAGCUCAACUCGGAAAUGGCAUUGAAUACUAUCCCGCUUGAGGGUCGGAGGGGAGACUGGAAUUCUCGGUGUAGCAGUGAAAUGCGUAGAUAUCGAGAGGAACACCAGUGGCGAAGGCGAGUCUCUGGACGACUCCUGACACUGAGGCACGAAAGCUGGGGGAGCGAACGGG